This 460-nucleotide ribosomal RNA is filed under the name uncultured bacterium. RNAcentral describes it as "partial 16S ribosomal RNA". It matches the Rfam family "Bacterial small subunit ribosomal RNA", at positions 338 to 795 of the family's 1533-position model. The record is from RNAcentral.
CCUACGGGUGGCAGCAGUGAGGAAUAUUGGUCAAUGGACGCAAGUCUGAACCAGCCAUGCCGCGUGCAGGAAGAAGGCUCUAUGAGUUGUAAACUGCUUUUAUAAGGGGGUAAACGCAGAUACGUGUAUCUGUCUGCCUGUAUCUUAUGAAUAAGGAUAGGCUAACUCCUUGCCAGCAGCCGCGGUAAUACGGAGGAUGCAAGCGUUAUCCGGAUUUUUUGGGUUUAAAGGGUGCGUAUGCGGUCGGAUAAGUUAGAGGUGAAAUCCCUGGGCUUAACUUCGGAAUUGCCUCUGAUACUGUUCGACUAGAGGGUAGUUGCGGUAGGCGGAAUGUGUGGUGUAGCGGUGAAAUGCUUAGAGAUAAGACAGAACACCGAUUGCGAAGGCAGCUUACCAGGCUACUACUGACGUUGAGGCACGAAAGCGUGGGGAGCAAACAGGAUUAGAUACCCGAGUAGUC